This 1074-nucleotide small RNA is filed under the name Pan troglodytes (chimpanzee). RNAcentral's name for it is "processed transcript". The record is from RNAcentral. Lineage: Eukaryota; Metazoa; Chordata; Mammalia; Primates; Hominidae.
UUACUUCAGCCAAAGGGAACUGAUUGAAAGUGGGAGUGUGCCUGAGUGAGCAGAUGCUGGAGACCGCCUGGAGGCCCCAGGGCAGCCUGCAGAGGCCAAGAGGUGGAGCACGGAGCUAGGAUGCAGAAAUCCCGGCUGCGGCCAGACCGGGAAAGAGCCCCUUGAUGACAGUCCUGUGAGGCCACAUCUGAUGGAGAAACAGUGCCUCACUAGGAAACAGGGCCACGCCUGGCUGAAAGAUGACGAAGCGACACACUGUAGGCAGUGUGAGAAGGAGUUCUCCAUUUCCCGGAGAAAGCCUAGCUCUGUGGAAGAGAGGAAGCCACAGCUACCCCACCCCCUCCCCAACCCGAGUUUCAGGCAGUGCCUUGCAGUAAGCUCAGAGCUAGAAACCACGUCCUGAGGCUGCCUUUGAGAUCACAUGUGUCUACAAGGCCUGGCUGUCCCCAUCUGUGGAGUCAGAAGCAGAGGCUGCACAGCACCACUGCCGGAACUGUGGCCACAUCUUCUGCAACACCUGCUCCAGCAACGAGCUGGCCCUGCCCUCCUACCCCAAGCCGGUGCGAGUGUGCGACAGCUGCCACACCCUGCUCCUGCAGCGCUGCUCCUCCACGGCCUCCUGAACGUCCGUCCUCAGGAGCACAGCCUCAUGGACAGUGCCAAACCCUGUGGGUCUCCAGGGGCUUGGGAAAUGUGUUCUUUCCCAAGAGAAUCAAAGGAAAGAAUCAAAUUUCUUGCCCGGCCACUGGCACUCCAGAAGACAGCGUGCCGGAACCAGCAGCUCUCACCUUUCUGUGACUCGUUCGGAAUUAACUCCACUGGAUGGAAACUUCCAUCUUACUUGGUUACGUCACGGCUCUGGUUCAGAUACAACUUCAUGAUUUUGCUACUAUCAUUUUUCACUUUUCAAAGAAUUUAACCUAUUUUACAGCAGUUCAGUUCUGCUAGUGAGUAGUUUUCCUCUCCUACCUUCCUUCUAAAAACCUGAUUCAUGCACAGCGUUUGACACACAUGGAGUCUGCCAGUGUGCCUUCUCUGCUUCAGUCAAGAGAUCUGCCAUCUCAUGCCCUUGUG